UCAUGCGGUCGCCGCUCGCGGCUCGCCGGUCAUUCUUUAUGGCGUUGUGUUGUUGUAUUUAUUUAAUCUAAAUCACGUUAUUUUGUUAGAAAAACUUUGUGUACUAACUUUUGUGAUUCUUCGCGCAAACUACUAUAGUGUUCUGUGACUAAAUGACCUUCUAAUAAAAGCCUGUAUGACUAUUUUCAAGGAUACCACAUUAAAUGAAAUAGAGCAAAAUAUAUCUAAAUGGAUAAGGCGUUGUGCGGAAAGGGGAAAGGAUAAAAACGUGUGAAUUGCAUAAACCUAUAUAUAUUUAUGUAUCAUAUAUUUACUUCAAUUAAAUCGUUUUGAAUUUCGUU
This is a long non-coding RNA of Photinus pyralis (common eastern firefly), 341 nucleotides long. RefSeq lists it as uncharacterized. NCBI's taxonomy places the organism in Eukaryota, Metazoa, Arthropoda, Insecta, Coleoptera, Lampyridae. The record is from RefSeq and is a predicted model, not a curated record. The transcript has 2 exons.